UACAGAGGUGGCAAGCGUUGUUCGGAAUUACUGGGCGUAAAGGGCGCGUAGGCGGCCCUCUAAGUCAGACGUGAAAUCCCCCGGCUUAACCUGGGAACUGCGUCUGAUACUGGAGGGCUUGAGUGCGGGAGAGGGAUGUGGAAUUCCAGGUGUAGCGGUGAAAUGCGUAGAUAUCUGGAGGAACACCGGUGGCGAAGGCGGCAUCCUGGACCGACACUGACGCUGAGGCGCGAAAGCUAGGGUAGCAAACGGG
This 253-nucleotide ribosomal RNA is filed under the name uncultured bacterium. RNAcentral's name for it is "partial 16S ribosomal RNA". It matches the Rfam family "Bacterial small subunit ribosomal RNA", at positions 524 to 776 of the family's 1533-position model. The record is from RNAcentral.